UACGUAGGGUGCAAGCAUUAUCCGGAGUGACUGGGCGUAAAGAGUUGCGUAGGUGGUUUGUUAAGUGAAUGGUGAAAUCUGGUGGCUCAACCACACAGACUAUCAUUCAAACUGGCAAACUCGAGAAUAGCAGAGGUAACUGGAAUUUCUAGUGUAGGAGUGAAAUCCGUAGAUAUUAGAAGGAACACCAAUGGCGUAGGCAGGUUACUGGGCUAUUUCUGACACUGAGGCACGAAAGCGUGGGGAGCGAACCGG
This 255-nucleotide ribosomal RNA is filed under the name uncultured bacterium. Its description in RNAcentral is "partial 16S ribosomal RNA". It matches the Rfam family "Bacterial small subunit ribosomal RNA", at positions 524 to 776 of the family's 1533-position model. The record is from RNAcentral.